GAUGAACGCUGGCGGCGUGCCUAAUACAUGCAAGUCGAGCGAACAGACGAGGAGCUUGCUCCUCUGACGUUAGCGGCGGACGGGUGAGUAACACGUGGAUAACCUACCUAUAAGACUGGGAUAACUUCGGGAAACCGGAGCUAAUACCGGAUAAUAUAUUGAACCGCAUGGUUCAAUAGUGAAAGACGGUUUUGCUGUCACUUAUAGAUGGAUCCGCGCCGCAUUAGCUAGUUGGUAAGGUAACGGCUUACCAAGGCAACGAUGCGUAGCCGACCUGAGAGGGUGACCGGCCACACUGGAACUGAGCCACGGUCCAGACUCCUACGGGAGGCAGCAGUAGGGAAUCUUCCGCAAUGGGCGAAAGCUUGACGGAGCAACGCCGCGUGAGUGAUGAAGGUCUUCGGAUCGUAAAACUCUGUUAUUAGGGAAGAACAAAUGUGUAAGUAACUAUGCACGUCUUGACGGUACCUAAUCAGAAAGCCACGGCUAACUACGUG
RNAcentral lists this ribosomal RNA (497 nucleotides) under uncultured bacterium. Its description in RNAcentral is "partial 16S ribosomal RNA". It matches the Rfam family "Bacterial small subunit ribosomal RNA", at positions 28 to 507 of the family's 1533-position model. The record is from RNAcentral.